RNAcentral lists this ribosomal RNA (159 nucleotides) under Salmonella enterica subsp. enterica serovar Derby. The stretch from base 1 to 139 matches the Rfam family "Bacterial large subunit ribosomal RNA", at positions 2792 to 2925 of the family's 2925-position model. The record is from RNAcentral. Lineage: Bacteria; Pseudomonadati; Pseudomonadota; Gammaproteobacteria; Enterobacterales; Enterobacteriaceae.
ACUUGCCCCGAGAUGAGUUCUCCCUGAGACUUAGAGUCUCCUGAAGGAACGUUGAAGACGACGACGUUGAUAGGACGGGUGUGUAAGCGCAGCGAUGCGUUGAGCUAACCGGUACUAAUGAACCGUGAGGCUUAACCUUACAACGCCGAAGAUGUUUUG